RNAcentral lists this ribosomal RNA (403 nucleotides) under uncultured bacterium. RNAcentral describes it as "partial 16S ribosomal RNA". It matches the Rfam family "Bacterial small subunit ribosomal RNA", at positions 28 to 526 of the family's 1533-position model. The record is from RNAcentral.
GACGAACGCUGGCGGCGUGCCUAAUACAUGCAAGUCGAACGCAGUGGGGACGGGUGAGGAACACGGGGGUAACCUCCCAUCAGAGGGGAUAACAGUUGGAAACAGGUGCUAAACCGAUACGGAUGGAGGGACCCGCGGUGCAUUAGCUAGUUGGUUAGGUAACGGCUCACCAAGGUCACGAUGCAUAGCCGACCUGAGAGGGGGAUCGGCCACACUGGGACUGAGACACGGCCCCGACUCCUACGGUAGGCAGCAGUAGGGAAUCUUCCGCAAUGGGCGCAAGCCUGACGGAGCAACGCCGCGUGAGUGAAGAAGGUUUUCGGAUCGUAAAGCUCUGUUGUAAGAGAAGCGGUAUCUUACCAGAAAGCCACGGCUAACUCCGUGCCAGCAGCCGCGGUAAUAC